AGCGAACGCUGGCGGCGUGCUUAACACAUGCAAGUCGAGCGCAGGCAUUUUAGGGGUAACCCUGAGAUGUGCUGAGCGGCGGACGAGUGAGUAAUACGUGGAUAACCUGCCUUUGUGCUUGGGAUAACUCCGGGAAACUGGAGCUAAUACCGGAUAAGACCACGGUUUCUAUGGAUACCGAGGUAAAAGGCGGCUAGGUAACUGGCUGUCACGCAAAGAUGGGUUCACGUCCCACCAGGUAGUUGGUGAGGUAAUGGCUCACCAAGCCUAAGACGGGUAGCUGGCCUUAGCGGGUGGUCAGCCACACGGGGACUGAGAUACGGCCCCGACUCCUACGGGAGGCAGCAGUGGGGAAUAUUGGGCAAUGGGCGAAAGCCUGACCCAGCGACGCCGCGUGGGGGAUGAAGGCCUUCGGGUCGUAAACCCUUGUCAGGAGGGACGAUGGGAAUGUGAGCUAAUACCUCACAUGCUUGGCGGUACCUCCAAAGGAAGCCCCGGCUAACUCCGUGCCAGCAGCCGCGGUAAUACGGAGGGGGCAAGCGUUGCUCGGAAUUACUGGGCGUAAAGGGUCCGUAGGCGGCUCCGUAAGUUAGAUGUGAAAGCUCAGGGCUCAACCCUGAAAUUGCAUCUAAAACUGCGGAGCUAGAGUCCAGAAGAGGUCGGCGGAUUCCCGGUGUAGCGGUGAAAUGCGUAGAUAUCGGGAGGAACACCAGUGGCGAAGGCGGCCGACUAGUCUGGUACUGACGCUGAGGGACGA
RNAcentral lists this ribosomal RNA (757 nucleotides) under uncultured delta proteobacterium. RNAcentral describes it as "bacterial SSU rRNA". It matches the Rfam family "Bacterial small subunit ribosomal RNA", at positions 28 to 756 of the family's 1533-position model. The record is from RNAcentral. Lineage: Bacteria; Deltaproteobacteria.